This 1362-nucleotide long non-coding RNA is filed under the name Cricetulus griseus (Chinese hamster). RNAcentral's name for it is "lncRNA (ENSCGRG00015042169.1)". Lineage: Eukaryota; Metazoa; Chordata; Mammalia; Rodentia; Cricetidae. The record is from RNAcentral.
AUCAAUACCUCUCCUUUGACCUCGGACUGUAAGACUUUUAAUUUCCAACAUCCUAGGGUGUCUUACCUCAAAAGGCUCACUCAUGGUGGAGUAGACGACGCAGAAGUUAGCUGGCCCUGAACCGAUGGGACAUACAUAGAGAAGGCUUUCCGGAAACUUGAAGAGAGCCGUGUCUUGUGCUUGCCCCUACUAUGUCCUUGACCCAAAUACAUACCUUAAGGUCAGCACCCAGGAUGACAGCUGUGGACAGCAUCUUGGUGUUCCUGGAAAAUGUCCGAGAUUUGUACUUGUUUGCACCUCAGUUCUUCCCUGCUAACUCUGUGCUUUUGUUUACUGGGAUCCUAAUUGCUUGGGGCCCAGUGUCCUCUACUUGCCCCUUGGUCUUACAGGCUUCACGUCUCAGUGUUCGCUUUAGAACCUUGGUUCAUGUUCUCUUGUCCGGAUUGAACCUCUUUCACUUGCCUAGUCAAACAGCCCUGGCCAAGCCUCUCCCAUGUGCAUCCAAAGUGCCCCCAAACCUCUAGGCUUGGGCACCCCUCCCUAAGGAAAGCCUGGUCAUGAGGUGAUAAAGUAACACACAGCUGGAGCAGCUGGCAAGCGUCUUACGUUUUUCAGAUGAGAAAGAUGUCAGAGAUGGAGGAAAGAUGGAGAAAACUGAUGUGGGAGGUCACUGGGGGCAACGGAGAAGACAAGGUAAAGGCGCAGAAUGGCCCUAAGUAGUGGGGUACCUGUUUCUCUGAGGGGGGAACUAGAUAAUGACAUAAGUGAAGACUGCUUUGCAGCUGGAAUAGGAAGCUAAGGAAAAUAUAUUAUUAGAGUUACCUUGGUUCCUGGCUAUGUGAGUGGUUGAUUUAGUUGACGUUGAUAGGGUUCUUAUAAUUAUGUUUAUAUUCAUAAAAGCAUAUUUUAAAAACAUAUUUUGUGCAUGUCUUGUAAUUUGAUUCUUUCUAGGAGUCAGCAACAGCCAAGCCACCCCUGCCACUACCAAAGGGUUUCUCUGUAUUGCUUUGGAGGUUGUCCUGGAACUCGCUCUAAUUCACAGAGAUCUGCCUGCCUCUGCAGUGCUGGGAUUAAAGGCAUGUGCCACCAACGCCCGGCCUGUGCAACUUUUUAGGAUUUUUUUCUUUUUAAGACAAUGUCUUAUUCUAGCCCAGAUUGCCCUGAAAUUCACUGUGUAGCCUAAGCUGGCCUCAAAAUUGAAGCAAUUCUCCUGCCUCCAUCUCCUAAUCCUGGGAUUAUAGGUGGGAGCCACCACACCCACCUCAGUAACUAUUUAGUUUAAAAGGACACAAUAACUAUAAUUUAAUUUAUUAUUUUUUUCCUCAUUUUUCUAGUGUUCAUAGCAUUCUACUGUGAUUGGGC